This 60-nucleotide microRNA precursor is filed under the name Eptatretus burgeri (inshore hagfish). RNAcentral describes it as "Ebu-Mir-96-P3e_pre stem-loop". Lineage: Eukaryota; Metazoa; Chordata; Myxini; Myxiniformes; Myxinidae. The record is from RNAcentral.
AAUGGCACUGGUAGAAUUCACUGCGCGCUCUGCUCCAGUGAAUCGCCUUGGAGCCAUACA